This 718-nucleotide ribosomal RNA is filed under the name uncultured bacterium. RNAcentral describes it as "bacterial SSU rRNA". It matches the Rfam family "Bacterial small subunit ribosomal RNA", at positions 585 to 1310 of the family's 1533-position model. The record is from RNAcentral.
GCAUCUCCCGUUAAAUCCCGAGGCUCAACCUCGGAACCGCGGGAGAUAUGGCCGGGCUAGAGGCCGGAAGAGGUACGCGGAAUUGCCGGUGUAGGGGUUAAAUCCGUUAAUAUCGGCAAGAACACCAAAAGCGAAAGCAGCGUACUGGAACGGUCCUGACGCUCAGGGACGAAAGCGUGGGUAGCGAAUGGGAUUAGAUACCCCAGUAGUCCACGCCGUAAACGUUGGAUGCUAAACAUUGGCAGUAUCGACCCUGUCAGUGUUGUUCACUCAAGCUAACGCCUUAAGCAUCCCACCUGGGGAGUACGGCCGCAAGGCUAAAACUCAAAGGAAUAGACGGGGACCCGCACAAGCGGUGGAGCACGUGGUUUAAUUCGAUGAUAAGCGAGGAACCUCACCCAGGCUUGACAUCUGGCUGCAGACCCCUGGAAACAGGGGAGCCUUCGAGGGUGCCAGACAGGUGCUGCAUGGUUGUCGUCAGCUCGUGUCGUGAGAUGUACCGUUAAGUCGGGAAACGAGCGCAACCCCUAUCCUAUGUUUUACUUGUCAUAGGAAACUGCCCGCUUUAAGUGGGAGGAAGGUGGGGACGACGUCAAAUCAGCAUGGUCCUUACGCCUGGGGCGACACACGUGCUACAAUGGGGAGUACAGAGGGACGCCAAACCGCAAGGUGGAGCUAAUCCCCCAAAACUCCCCUCAGUUCGAAUUGGGGUCUGCAA